This 303-nucleotide ribosomal RNA is filed under the name uncultured bacterium. RNAcentral's name for it is "partial 16S ribosomal RNA". It matches the Rfam family "Bacterial small subunit ribosomal RNA", at positions 507 to 808 of the family's 1533-position model. The record is from RNAcentral.
AGCAGUCGCCACGGUAAUACGUAGGUCCCGAGCGUUGUCCGGAUUUAUUGGGCGUAAAGCGAGCGCAGGCGGUUAGAUAAGUCUGAAGUUAAAGGCUGUGGCUUAACCAUAGUACGCUCUGGAAACUGGGAAACUUGAGCGCAGAAGAGGAGAGUGGAAUUCCACGUGUAGCGGCGAAAUGCGUAGAGAUGUGGAGGAACACCAGUGGCGAAGGCGACUCUCUGGUCUGUAACUGACGCUGAGGAGCGAAGGCGUGGGGAGCGAACAGGAUUAGAUACCCCGGUAGUCCCUGUCUCUUAUACA